CGUGUAGGCGGUCAGGUAAGUGGAAUGUGAAAUGCCCCGGCUCACCCGGGGACCGGCAUCCCAAACUGCCUGGCUUGAGUAUGGGGAGAGGAUGGAGGAAUUCCUGGUGUAGCGGUGAAAUGCGUAGAUAUCAGGAGGAACACCGGUGGCGAAGGCGUCCAUCUGGCCCAAUACUGACGCUGAGGCGCGAAAGCUAGGGGAGCAAACGG
Molecule: ribosomal RNA, 209 nt
Filed under: uncultured Latescibacterota bacterium
Lineage: Bacteria; Pseudomonadati; Candidatus Latescibacterota
Description: uncultured Latescibacteria bacterium partial 16S ribosomal RNA
Rfam family: Bacterial small subunit ribosomal RNA
Source: RNAcentral